AUACUCUGGUUUCUCUUCAGAUCGUAUAAAUCUUUUGCCUUUUACUAAAGAUUUCCAUGGAGAGGAACAGCUCUGAAUCUUAAGAUACCAUCUCAUGCCAGUUAGAAUGGCGA
This 113-nucleotide small nuclear RNA is filed under the name Theropithecus gelada (gelada). RNAcentral's name for it is "U5 spliceosomal RNA (ENSTGEG00000015896.1)". It matches the Rfam family "U5 spliceosomal RNA". Rfam says of the family: U5 RNA is a component of both types of known spliceosome. The record is from RNAcentral. Lineage: Eukaryota; Metazoa; Chordata; Mammalia; Primates; Cercopithecidae.